GAAAGGGCUUCGGCCCCAGUAAAGCGGCGCACGGGUGAGUAACACGUAGGUAAUCUACCCUUGAGUGGUGGAUAACCCUCCGAAAGGAGGGCUAAUACAGCAUAAGACCACGGUCUUCCGAGGCUGUGGCCAAAGCGGGCCUCUCCAUGGAAGCUCGCGCUUAAGGAUGAGCCUGCGGCCCAUCAGCUAGUUGGCAGGGUAAUGGCCUACCAAGGCGAAGACGGGUAGCUGGUCUGAGAGGAUGAACAGCCACACUGGAACUGAGACACGGUCCAGACUCCUACGGGAGGCAGCAGUAGGGAAUCUUGCGCAAUGGGCGAAAGCCUGACGCAGCGACGCCGCGUGAGCGAUGAAGGCCUUCGGGUUGUAAAGCUCUGUGGGGAGGGAAGAAUAAUCUCCGGUUAAUACCCUGAGAGAUGACGGUACCUCCUUAGCAAGCACCGGCUAACUCUGUGCCAGCAGCCGCGGUAAGACAGAGGGUGCAAACGUUGUUCGGAAUCACUGGGCGUAAAGCGCGUGUAGGCGGCCUCGCAAGUCGGGCGUGAAAUCCCACGGCUCAACCGUGGAAGUGCACUCGAAACUGCGAGGCUGGAGUCCCGGAGAGGAAGGUGGAAUACUUGGUGUAGAGGUGAAAUUCGUAGAUAUCAAGUGGAACACCGGUGGCGAAGGCGGCCUUCUGGACGGUGACUGACGCUGAGACGCGAAAGCGUGGGGAGCAAACAGGAUUAGAUACCCUGGUAGUCCACGCCGUAAACGAUGAGUGCUAGGUGUCA
Molecule: ribosomal RNA, 773 nt
Filed under: uncultured delta proteobacterium
Lineage: Bacteria; Deltaproteobacteria
Description: bacterial SSU rRNA
Rfam family: Bacterial small subunit ribosomal RNA
Source: RNAcentral